UCGAGUUAGGGUUCUAGCCACCUCCCAACCCCUUGUUGACAUACCUACUGUUGCCUUCGGCGGCUCAGCUCGCGACCCCGCUAAAGCGGGUCCCGGCCCGCCCGCCGAUGGCAACCACUAAAACUCUGUAUAUCGUGGAACUUCAUGAGUCUAAGUCAAUGAUUAAUAAGAUCA
This 174-nucleotide unclassified non-coding RNA is filed under the name soil metagenome. RNAcentral describes it as "partial internal transcribed spacer 1". The record is from RNAcentral.